Callorhinus ursinus (northern fur seal) is the source of this 108-nucleotide small nuclear RNA. The record is from RefSeq and is a predicted model, not a curated record. NCBI's taxonomy places the organism in Eukaryota, Metazoa, Chordata, Mammalia, Carnivora, Otariidae.
GUGCUCGCUUCGGCAGCACAUAUACUAAAAUUGGAACGAUACAGAGAAGAUUAGCGUGGCCCCUGCGCAAGGAUGACACGCAAAACACAAGGAUAUCAUCGCAUUCUC